This 292-nucleotide ribosomal RNA is filed under the name uncultured bacterium. Its description in RNAcentral is "partial 16S ribosomal RNA". It matches the Rfam family "Bacterial small subunit ribosomal RNA", at positions 505 to 796 of the family's 1533-position model. The record is from RNAcentral.
GUGUCAGCCGCCGCGGUAAUACGUAGGUGACAAGCGUUAUCCGGAAUUACUGGGCGUAAAGCGCACGCAGGCGGUGGGGUAAGUCUGAUGUGAAAUCUCCUGGCUUAACUGGGAGGGGUCAUUGGAAACUGCCGUACUUGAGGCGAUGAGAGGGGUGUAGAAUUCCCGGUGUAGUGGUGGAAUGCGUAGAUAUCGGGAGGAAUACCAGUGGCGAAAGCGACACCCUGGCAUUAGCCUGACGCUCAUGUGCGAAGGCGUGGGGAGCGAACGGGAUUAGAAACCCUCGUAGUCC